CCUACGGGAGGCUGCAGUGGGGAAUAUUGGACAAUGGGCGAAAGCCUGAUCCAGCCAUGCCGCGUGUGUGAAGAAGGCCUUCGGGUUGUAAAGCACUUUCAGUGGGGAAGAAAGCCUUGGGGCUAAUACCCUCGAGGAAGGACAUCACCCACAGAAGAAGCACCGGCUAACUCCGUGCCAGCAGCCGCGGUAAUACGGAGGGUGCGAGCGUUAUUCGGAAUUACUGGGCGUAAAGCGCGCGUAGGCGGUCUGAUAAGCCGGUUGUGAAAGCCCCGGGCUCAACCUGGGAACGGCAUCCGGAACUGUCAGGCUAGAGUGCAGGAGAGGGAGGUAGAAUUCCCGGUGUAGCGGUGAAAUGCGUAGAGAUCGGGAGGAAUACCAGUGGCGAAGGCGGCCUUCUGGACUGACACUGACGCUGAGGUGCGAAAGCGUGGGUAGCAAACAGGAUUAGAUACCCGAGUAGUC
Molecule: ribosomal RNA, 465 nt
Filed under: Vreelandella stevensii
Lineage: Bacteria; Pseudomonadati; Pseudomonadota; Gammaproteobacteria; Oceanospirillales; Halomonadaceae
Description: partial 16S ribosomal RNA
Rfam family: Bacterial small subunit ribosomal RNA
Source: RNAcentral